RNAcentral lists this ribosomal RNA (418 nucleotides) under uncultured eukaryote. RNAcentral's name for it is "bacterial SSU rRNA". It matches the Rfam family "Eukaryotic small subunit ribosomal RNA", at positions 592 to 1018 of the family's 1831-position model. The record is from RNAcentral.
CAAUAGCGUAUAUUUAAGUUGUUGCAGUUAAAAAGCUCGUAGUUGGAUUUCGGUUAAGAGCGACCGGUCCGCCGUUUGGUGUGCACUGGUUGGUUUUAACUUCCUGUAGAGGACGUGCUCUGGGCUUAACGGUCUGGACUCGGAGUCUACGUGGUUACUUUGAAAAAUUAGAGUGUUCAAAGCAGGCGAUCGCUUGAAUACAUUAGCAUGGAAUAAUAGAAUAGGACUUUGGUUCUAUUUUGUUGGUUUCUAGGACCGAAGUAAUGAUUAAUAGGGACAGUUGGGGGGCAUUAGUAUUUAAUUGUCAGAGGUGAAAUUCUUGGAUUUAUGAAAGACUAACUACUGCGAAAGCAUUUGCCAAGGAUGUUUUCAUUAAUCAAGAACGAAAGUUAGGGGAUCGAAGAUGAUCAGAUACCGU